Long non-coding RNA from Dermochelys coriacea (leatherback sea turtle), 1988 nucleotides. RefSeq lists it as uncharacterized. Lineage: Eukaryota; Metazoa; Chordata; Testudines; Dermochelyidae. The transcript has 2 exons. The record is from RefSeq and is a predicted model, not a curated record.
GAGUGUAAAUAUUAACUGAGAAUAUUGGGAUGACUUCUAAAGGAAGAUACAUAACUUCCUUUAAUCCUCACAACAAAGGCCGAAAUAUCAAAUAAAUGACAUCUCAGAGCUCUGUAGACCAAUUUUAGAAAUACUUUCACAAAGAUUUUCUUAUGGGGCAAUUCACUGCCCUGGUUUAAUAUUAGCCUCUAGUACUUACAGAGGAACUGGAACGUAUUUGGUCUUAACCCAAAACCAAUAUUACAAAUUUCUUAUAGAAAUACUUCAGCUCUGAACAAAGCUGUGGUCACUUUCUUACUUGGUGGAUAAGGUACUGCUGUUCUUCCAUCCUUUCCCAGAGGGCGUUCCUCAGCUCCUGCUGGAGGCAUUUUUGAUGACCGCAGAGCUGGUGAUACAGCCUAAACACAGUGCAGUGCUGUCUGAAUUUACCUCCAUCUUGGCAUCAUAUCUGUCAUACCGGAGCUCUGGCGGCUUGAACUCUGGAUCAUCACUUGCUGGGAGAACAUAGCUCUGCCACUUAUCUGAUGAUUCAUUGUUUUGAAUGAUCCCACAAUAUAAAGCUGUCUCACUGACCUCUGCCAUCAACGGCAGCCUCUGUCCAACAAGAACUGUCCUAUCAUCUAGACUGGGCAAUGGUUGGAGUUCUAACCCAUUACCAUAAAGUGCUGGGUUCACAGCAACUGAUGGUGGGUCCAAAUGUUCUGCUUCCUGACCUCUUGGCUGGGGGCUAAGUGUGGGAGGCAGAGGGGAGGUGGGGGAAUGGGGUGAAUCCAUGGGAUUCAGAUUAAUUUGUUUACUUGGGUUUCUGGAGGGUAUGGAUAGCUGCUUCUCAUAUUUCCUGGAAUUAGAGACUUCCAAAGAGGGAUCCAUCCCUACCAACCCCAGCUUCUGCCCUGAUGUGUCCUGUUCCAUGCAUAGCUCUUCAGUGACAGAGGGCCGAUGGUGAAAUGGCAUCAUAGGCCUUUUUUGCAGUUUCUCUCCUUUUUCCUGUCUUUCUGUUGUUUUGUGCUUAGAAGAGGCAGGUGGUGGCAAGGAAGAAGAGGAUGAUGAUCCGACACUGAACCCUGGCUGUGAUAUCGUUGGGGGACGGCUGGGGCCAAUAGCACAGCGCUGUUUGAAAAGCUUGUGCCUGUAACAGGAGUUAGAAACAAGUCACCAUGUGAACUGUGAGGCUACAUGAUCUGAUGGUUAGAACAAAAGCACAGAGCCAAGAAAUCUUAAUUCUAUUCCUGCCUCUGUUGCAAACUGUAAAAUGAUCUUGGAAGGGUUACUUAGCCUCUCUCAGCUUCAGUGCCCCUGUCUGCAAAAUGGGGAUAAUGACAUCUAUCUCACACAUGCAGUAUUCUAGGAGAAAGAAUUAACAUUUGUUUAAAAUUCUCAGGUGGAAGAUAAUAUAGAAAUACCAAGUAUUAUUGUCUUCACCACCGAAGAGCUGUUUUUCUUCACAACAAUACUGAAGCAAUACUACUCUUCCUGUACAUUCUUGAGCAUGUGUUGGGAAUGAUACCAUAUUGUGUGUUUUAGCUGUGCUCACAGAUGCAAUGCACAGCAGGUUGCUUUCAAGCCAUUUUUCCUCCAGACCGGGAGACGGAGGAGGCACUCAUGCCAAAUAAGAGGUGUUUGUGCCAUCCUCAUCAAUUGCUGAAUAUUUUACACAGUCCAAAACCUCCCCCCGCAACUAUGAAUUUUUGUAUUGAUAGUGGCUUUAAAUUCUAAGACAUCUUGUGCUACAGAAAUCCAUUAUCUUUUAAAAUUGGAAGCACAGGAAAGAAAUUCAAUAUCCUAGAUGUUGCAGCCAUUAAAUGGUGUUUUCAUUAUCUCUGAGAUAGUCUGUGAAGACCUUGUGAUAGCUUCCUCUGCAUUACAAGAUAACCUUUCUGAUAAUAUAGUUACAUGGUUGGUAGGUAGUACAGUGGGUUAAUGCACUGUACACUUUGGUUAAAGGAGAUUCAAAUAAAAUUUAAAAUAAAGGGUGGAGGGGCUGAUGA